Molecule: ribosomal RNA, 253 nt
Filed under: uncultured bacterium
Lineage: Bacteria
Description: partial 16S ribosomal RNA
Rfam family: Bacterial small subunit ribosomal RNA
Source: RNAcentral
UACGUAGGGCGCAAGCGUUAUCCGGAAUUAUUGGGCGUAAAGAGCUCGUAGGCGGUUUGUCGCGUCGGCUGUGAAAACCCGUGGCUCAACUGCGGGCUUGCAGCCGAUACGGGCAGGCUAGAGUUCGGUAGGGGAGACUGGAAUUCCUGGUGUAGCGGUGAAAUGCGCAGAUAUCAGGAGGAACACCGGUGGCGAAGGCAGCUCGCUGGGACGGUACUGACACUAAGGCGCGAAAGCGUGGGGAGCGAACAGG